This 216-nucleotide long non-coding RNA is filed under the name Elaeis guineensis (African oil palm). RNAcentral describes it as "long non-coding RNA (EGUI_LNC043138)". The record is from RNAcentral. Lineage: Eukaryota; Viridiplantae; Streptophyta; Magnoliopsida; Arecales; Arecaceae.
GUGGCAUAGCUCCAGAAAGAGCUUCAUUUUGCCCAAGAGAAGAUCUCUAGACUUGAGCGCUCGAGAAAUACAACUAUUGAAUACAGAUCGAGGAAAAGUCACCCAGUGGUCACAAGAUCCCAAAGCUUGGUCGGACAAGGAUCAGCUGACCCCGCAUCUCCGGAUGAUACACUCCGACGCAUGUUCAAUGCAGGCGUGUAGGAAUUGAAUAGAAAU